CAGAUAUAUCAGAAUAUGACAAACAUAAAUGCUACAGUUAUUGUCAUAAAUAAAGAAACUUUGGCGUGAAGUGAAAGGCAAGCGACCGUUGUGCUUGUUUGAAACCAAUCUCUUCAAAAAAGUGACAGCCCAGAUACACUAAGGCCAAACGUUUUGAGAAAAUGUUCCCAUAACGAAGAAAUUGAAAACAUAUGAUCCUUUAUAUAUAUAAUAGUGCUACAAAUCAACGAGAUCGCCCUAUAGUUUGGCAGUAAUGUUGAAGGUUAUCAGAAAACGUGAAUUUUAAAAAUAUAAUCCGUCAGCACGAAACGCCACAAGAGGAAUUGGCUGAUCUCCCUUUAAAAUUAAAAGAAGAUUGUUGUAGAAUCACCUACUUACAAAAAGUAUGUGCAUAUUUUGCAGUGAUCACAUAGCAAAAUGUCAAGCAACAUUUAUCAAGAGAUGAAUCAUUAGAUCAAUCAUCAUCUAACAGCAUAAGUAUACUACACUUUGUAGACAUGAUCUUGUGAAGCCUGGGAUGGAAAAGUGGAAAAAUGCUGUUAUAUUUUCACCAGUUCUCUUAAGUUCAUGGGGUGUGAUGAUAUUGUAAAUAAGACAAAGUUUAGAUUUAAUGAAUUCAACCAAAACAGUAAGUUUAUUAUAUUAAAACAUAUUAGUUAGUAGAUGAAGGAGGAGGGUUUGAAUAAUUGUUAAAUACUCCGAUGUUGAAAUUGAUUGUACAGUUGCUGCAAUUUUUAAUGGAUAUUGGUGUAGAUGUUUCUUGGGCGUUGAUUAUUUCAUGCUCUACUGCACUUGCGGCCGUAAAUCCCAAGGAAGUUACAGGAGUAGAUGACGUUGAAGCGAGUCCUGAAUGUAAGUUUCUGCAACAGCAGAGGAUUUCCACCCCCCUAGCUGUUUGAUUGCAAUCAAACCUUGCCCAUGAUUAGCCAUUGCUGUUGCAGCACUUCUACGGAAGCAGUGGCCCGUGAAGUGUUCUGGAUGUAGCAGGUGAAGAUAUUCAGCUAUUCUGGAUGGUAUUUUACCAAUAGUAUUGAUUCCAACAGGCGAUUUUGUGCAUUUACCGUUGUGAUAAGUGAGGAAAAAACGCGAAUCGUUUGUUUUCCUAAGACUGUUGUACUUUUUUAUUAUAUCAAUCCACUGUGGGUGAGAUACAACGAAGGUUCUAGGAGUGUUUGUUUUUGUCUCCGGCACAGUAACAACAAUAAUGUCUGUUUUAAAUUCUAGAUCAGACGGUUUCAUGUUGCAGAGCUCCCCCCUUCUGCACAUGCCAGAAAUGCCGAAAACUAAUGCUGCCUGAAAUAAAAUAUUAAGUGUUGUUAUAGUAAUUUGUUUAUUAGUAUGUGUCAAUCUUACCUUCAUCAUUAAAAAUGUUGAAUCAGGCGCUUUUGCAAUACAUUUCGCUAUAUGCGCAUCUUCUAAAACCGCCGAUUUUUUAGGUUGA
Long non-coding RNA from Zophobas morio, 1441 nucleotides. RefSeq lists it as uncharacterized. NCBI's taxonomy places the organism in Eukaryota, Metazoa, Arthropoda, Insecta, Coleoptera, Tenebrionidae. The transcript has 3 exons. The record is from RefSeq and is a predicted model, not a curated record.